UUGCGCAAGUAAUGCUUUGCUGAGCAAUAUUAGCAAUCCUUGGUCGCGCCCUGGCGGUUAAGCUUCUCCCCAGUUUCAUGGCCCGGACGUUGAUGUCCACCCGCGGCGCCCAAUCAGGUGCCGCGGCGCCGGCGGUCCUACCGGAUCGCGCAGGCUCCCGGGUCCGCACCGCCCAACCAGGCGGGCGAGGAAAGCAGCGCCACGAACGCUAGUGCCGGACAAGAAAAAGGGGAGGCCACGGGCCUCCCC
RNAcentral lists this small RNA (249 nucleotides) under Pseudomonas sp. 8AS. RNAcentral describes it as "Pseudomonas sRNA P24". It matches the Rfam family "Pseudomonas sRNA P24". Rfam says of the family: P24 is conserved across several Pseudomonas species and in Azotobacter vinelandii. It appears to be consistently located between a hypothetical protein gene and a transcriptional regulator gene (AsnC family) in the genomes of all these species. P24 has a predicted Rho independent terminator at the 3' end but the function of P24 is unknown. Lineage: Bacteria; Pseudomonadati; Pseudomonadota; Gammaproteobacteria; Pseudomonadales; Pseudomonadaceae. The record is from Rfam by way of RNAcentral.